Capsicum annuum is the source of this 1430-nucleotide long non-coding RNA. RefSeq lists it as uncharacterized. The transcript has 3 exons. The record is from RefSeq and is a predicted model, not a curated record. Lineage: Eukaryota; Viridiplantae; Streptophyta; Magnoliopsida; Solanales; Solanaceae.
CAGAUACGGUUGCGGAGAGAGAGACUUGUGGCUGACAGUCUUUACGUGUGGAUUAUGUUGCGAAGAUAGUGAAGAUUCCAGUUAGCCAUUGCAUAUGACACUUCAUUUGCCUUAGGUGAAGGAAUUCGUGACAACAGUGCAACAGGAGGGGAUGGUGGACUGAUGAAAGCGCCAAAGGUUCUUGCAGACAUUAUGGGGUUGGUAAUGGGUCUGUAUAUUUGGAUUGCGCUUUUGAUGUGAAUGCUUUCUGGGUGGUCAGUUUCUUUCUUACUAUUUAAGUAUGUGUUGGCCAUGGAUCUUAUAAGAACUCAAUUUUGUUUUCCGUUCUGGAUUGAGAUUACUAGUGUAUUAAUCAACUACAACUCAAUCCCAAAAGUUAGGUUGGGUAUAUGAAUUCUCUUACUUAUUUCUCUAGAUUUCUAUUAUAACUUGAAAAUAAUUAUGCAGAAUUAAAGAGUUGAGUUUCGCCGGCUUAUUGGCUAUUAGUAAGUGUAUAUAAUUUACAGCCUUAGUGCUAGCAUACAAGGGGCUUUAAUUGUUAUUUAUCGAACCCAUUUUCAUGCAAAGCUAGUUAUCCUAGCAAACCUUUCAUCAAAUUGUCUCAAGCCAUACACCUGUUUCAUGUUUUAGUGACUUUUGCUGCAAGCAAAGUGGUAUCUGAGUAGUCAUUAUGUAUGCUUUUUAAUUUUCGGAGGUAAAACUUCUUUCCUCUAGAAACGUGUUGUGUGUUAUUCACCAAUCGCAGUUGGAUGUACUGGGGCGAGGAGAGGCAGAUGUAGGCCGAGGAAGUAUUGGGAAGAGGUGAUUAGAUAGGAUUUGACUCAUCUUCAGCUUAUCGAGACAUGACUUUAGAUAGGAGGAUAUGGAGGUCGCAUAUAAGGAUUGAAGGUUGGUAGUUAGUGUAUGUUGUCUUAGUAUUAGUCUAUUCUUGUAGAGUUUGUAGUCUUUAGCUUAGUGAUAGUCUAGAGCGCCAUGUCUGAUGUCUAUCGUAUGAUUAGCUACUCAUGUAGUCUUUGGAUUUUGGUCCAUGUGAUCAUUUGUUAUUUACUAUAUUUAAGUGGUCGCACCUUAUUAGAUGUUAUAAAUUCUUUGUAUAUAUUCUCCACAUUGCUCUCAUAUUAGUUGUCAUGUUUUUCUUCACUGCCAUUUUUCCUUUCAAUUAGUACUUCGAUUUGCUUCUCUUGAGUCGAGGGUCUUUCGAAAACUGUCUCUCUACUUUCAAGAGGUAGAGGUAAGUUCUACGCACACACUAUCCUCCCCAGACCCCACUUUGAGGGAAUUCACUGGGUAUGUUGUAUUAAAUCACUACUUAAUAUGAAACGAACGAAACGGAGCUAGUAAUGAAAUGCUUGAACCACAGUUAAAAUUCAAAAUGCAACAAGUAUGUUUAGGAAAUAAAUGGUAGUAGUACUUAGCACUUCCGGUCUAUG